This 250-nucleotide ribosomal RNA is filed under the name uncultured Planctomycetia bacterium. RNAcentral's name for it is "partial 16S ribosomal RNA". It matches the Rfam family "Bacterial small subunit ribosomal RNA", at positions 524 to 773 of the family's 1533-position model. The record is from RNAcentral. Lineage: Bacteria; Pseudomonadati; Planctomycetota; Planctomycetia.
UACGAACCGUCCAAACGUUAUUCGGAAUCACUGGGCUUAAAGGGUACGUAGGCGGCGCUGUUAGUCGGGUGUGAAAGCCCUCGGCUCAACCGAGGAAUUGCGCCCGAUACUGCAGUGCUUGAGGGAGACAGAGGUAAGCGGAACUGAUGGUGGAGCGGUGAAAUGCGUUGAUAUCAUCAGGAACACCGGUGGCGAAAGCGGCUUACUGGGUCUCUUCUGACGCUGAGGUACGAAAGCUAGGGGAGCGAAG